AACGUAGGAGACAAACGUUAUCCGGAGUUACUGGGCGUAAAGGGCGUGUAGGUGGUUGCGUAAGUCUGGCGUGAAAUAUCUCGGCUUAACCGAGGCAGGUCGUCGGAUACUGCGUAACUAGAGGACGGUAGAGGCGUGUGGAAUUCCGGGUGUAGUGGUGAAAUGCGUAGAGACCCGGAGGAACACCAGUGGCGAAGGCGACACGCUGGGCCGUACCUGACACUGAUGCGCGACAGCAUGGGGAGCAAACAGG
RNAcentral lists this ribosomal RNA (253 nucleotides) under uncultured bacterium. RNAcentral describes it as "partial 16S ribosomal RNA". It matches the Rfam family "Bacterial small subunit ribosomal RNA", at positions 524 to 776 of the family's 1533-position model. The record is from RNAcentral.